GUCCAUAUCAAUGUCCAUAUCAAUUUCCCAUGUUCCAUUACAUAUCCCGUGUUCUUUCCUUCUUCCAGCUUUUACAUGCUAGCCUUUUAUACAAUGAUUCCUCUCAUCUCGACUCGUUUGAUGAAUGGGCGUUUAGUUUUUGCAACAACAUAUGCGUUGGGUUAUCUCAUAUCGGGAAACACUUUCUGCCACUUUUAACUUGAACAAAGUUGGAGAAAUAAAGUGAUGGCAGAUAUUGCAAGUUGUUUAUAGUGUGCCUGUAGAAAUGUAAAAACGCUAUGUUUCGUGAAUGCCCAGCCUGUAAAUCGAAAUAAGAUUUCGUAUUUAUUAAGCAUUGGAAGAUCACAAUUGUGACUUUGUGGGUUUCGUAAAGAACAUCAUAUAGAUUUCUUUGACCAAGUGUAAUAAAGCAAAACACACGGACAUAGUAUGGAUAUGGACACAGCAUGGGUAUGGACACAAGCAACACUACCAGUCGUUUGAAACGAUGAAAUGGGCAACAAGUCGAUUUGUUUUUCAUCUAUCAAUCGUUGUAAUUCACAUGCAGCUACAAGACGACACGUUAUAUUUAGGGUGCAAAGCAGGUAGAGAUUUCAUAGGCAUAUUUCGAAGUACCAGCUUUAUGCCAAAACAUGCAUGCAUGCAAGAAACUCCAUAACUUCGUUUGCGCAACUCCUGCUUAUCGUCUUCUUUCUAUACCCAUACUGNUGGAUCNAUGAAUGAACGUAGCANUAGAUACNAGAUAUAGCGCCACACUUUUGAGCAUAUC
RNAcentral lists this small RNA (769 nucleotides) under Schizosaccharomyces pombe (fission yeast). RNAcentral's name for it is "small heterochromatic RNA precursor". Lineage: Eukaryota; Fungi; Ascomycota; Schizosaccharomycetes; Schizosaccharomycetales; Schizosaccharomycetaceae. The record is from RNAcentral.